GACGAACGCUGGCGGCGUGCUUAACACAUGCAAGUCGAACGGUAAGGCCCUUCGGGGUACACGAGUGGCGAACGGGUGAGUAACACGUGGGUGAUCUGCCCUGCACUUCGGGAUAAGCCUGGGAAACUGGGUCUAAUACCGGAUAGGACUCCUGGCUUCAUGGUUGGGGGUGUAAAGCUUUUGCGGUGUGGGAUGGGCCCGCGGCCUAUCAGCUUGUUGGUGGGGUAAUGGCCUACCAAGGCGACGACGGGUAGCCGGCCUGAGAGGGUGACCGGCCACACUGGGACUGAGAUACGGCCCAGACUCCUACGGAGGCAGCAUGGGGAAUAUUGCACAAUGGGCGCAAGCCUGAUGGCAAGCGACGCCGCGUGAGGGAUGACGGCUUC
This 386-nucleotide ribosomal RNA is filed under the name uncultured bacterium. RNAcentral's name for it is "bacterial SSU rRNA". It matches the Rfam family "Bacterial small subunit ribosomal RNA", at positions 28 to 418 of the family's 1533-position model. The record is from RNAcentral.